This 331-nucleotide ribosomal RNA is filed under the name Vibrio sp. HR11-17. RNAcentral's name for it is "partial 16S ribosomal RNA". It matches the Rfam family "Bacterial small subunit ribosomal RNA", at positions 1119 to 1452 of the family's 1533-position model. Lineage: Bacteria; Pseudomonadati; Pseudomonadota; Gammaproteobacteria; Vibrionales; Vibrionaceae. The record is from RNAcentral.
CAGCACGUANNGNUGGGAACUCCAGGGAGNCUGCCGGUGAUAANCCGGAGGAAGGUGGGGNNGACGUCAAGUCAUCAUGGCCCUUACGAGUAGGGCUACACACGUGCUACAAUGGCGCAUACAGAGGGCGGCCAACCAGCGAUGGUGAGCGAAUCCCAAAAAGUGCGUCGUAGUCCGGAUUGGAGUCUGCAACUCGACUCCAUGAAGUCGGAAUCGCUAGUAAUCGUGAAUCAGAAUGUCACGGUGAAUACGUUCCCGGGCCUUGUACACACCNNNCGNCNCACCAUGGGAGUGGGCUGCAAAAGAAGUGGGUAGUUAACNUCGGANGACG